CCAAGGAGUAUUUCCUCUGCCAUUUGUCUUCUCAGGUUGCUUAUAUGAUCCCCAGGAGGAUUGAUACUGAAAUGUUGUGGAAUGUCAGGAAAGUGCUUCACCGUUUCCUUUGCCAUCUUCAAAAAAGAAAAGAAAAAAACAACUGAUUGUGCGCUUUUGGAACUUUUUUGGAUGUUUUCACCCAUUUGCAUUGUUUGGACAGGCAAAGAGAAAAUUCUUCAAAUCUACAUUUGUGUUCAAUGAAGAAAGUCAUACACAUCUAUUGCAUAAGGGCAAAGAAACAGCUCUGGAGGAUUUACAAUAAUCUAAAACAGAAGACUGCAAGGUAACCUUACGAAAACUCAGUGUUGUGACGGGCGAUUCAACCUCAUUCUGAAGUACUGUCUGUUGGACAACAGUUUCAUUCAGACAUCCUGUGAAAUUGUUCUAAUUUCUCAUAUUAUUAAUUAAUGUGAUGAAAAAAGACUUACUGGAAUUUUUGGGAUGCAUUCAUCAGCGUCUCAACAUCGGUUUCAGCACUUGCUGGAUCCACAACAAAAAUUGUG
Sinocyclocheilus anshuiensis is the source of this 545-nucleotide long non-coding RNA. RefSeq lists it as uncharacterized. The record is from RefSeq and is a predicted model, not a curated record. The transcript is spliced from 3 exons. Lineage: Eukaryota; Metazoa; Chordata; Actinopteri; Cypriniformes; Cyprinidae.